This 1239-nucleotide long non-coding RNA is filed under the name Macaca fascicularis (crab-eating macaque). RNAcentral's name for it is "lncRNA (ENSMFAG00000058366.1)". Lineage: Eukaryota; Metazoa; Chordata; Mammalia; Primates; Cercopithecidae. The record is from RNAcentral.
GGCAGGCAGCGAGUGCCAGUGCUGGGGCAAGCAAGAGGACUAGGUCCCAGGAGCUGAGGCGCAGCCGGCAGGUUUCCGGGGAAGAAGAUUCACGGGAGUUCCCCUUAAGAGGGGUUAAUUAAGCGGGCAUCAGCCUAGCCCUGUGAGAAGCAGAAGCUAGAGAGUGUGCCGGAAAGAAAGGCUUUGUAUGAUCUGUCACCCAGGCUAGAGUGCAAUGGUGGAUUUCAACUUGCUACAGCCUCUGCCUCCUGGGCACAAGGGAUCCUCCCAACUCAGCCUCCCAAGUAGGUGAAACUACAGGAACCUGACCCAGUUAGCAGAGCUCCAGGGACCCCAGCUGCCUCUGAACGGCUCCUUCCAGAAGACCGAGGACCUUCCCUCCUGCGGCAGAAGGCUGUGACCUGCACAGGGGGCUGGCAUAAGCCUGCACCAACAAAGUGGGUGGCGCCUAAUACCCAGCGGAUGUGGAUGGGAAGCUCCCAGCACGGGCUCCUGAAGGACCCCGCAGAGACAACACGGAGGACUGAAUAGUUGGAUGGGGAGGAACCUGAAAAGGCUGUCUAGUUGGCCACAGCGCUGCCUUCAAGCCUCGGGCUUCACAGAGCAGCUGGAACUCACAACAGCGUGCCCCUGACUCGGUGUGCUCUCCUCAAGCUCCUGGCGUGAGCCCCUGAACAAACAGUUACACACAGCCUCAUGGUCUGGGGAUACCAGCUCCCUCUCAACUGUGAUUCCCGUUUAUCAGUCUACAGGGUUCUCGAAUGUGAGAGCUGUGCUGUGUUUAUCUUGUCUAGUAUUUCACACCAAACAGCAGCAAAUGAUACUUAUUGAAUCAAAGUCAAUUUUAAAAUUAGCAUCUGUAAGAAACACAGAGUGAUUUUUCCAUAAAAAGGCAGAUACGUUGGUAGACAAGUGGUGUGUGAUACCCACCCCCCCCCACUGGAAUAGUGUGGGGGAACUUCUGAGAUCCUUUGAGAAAAGUAAUCAGAUUGUUUUAAGCUGGUACAUCAAUUCCCCCAAGUCUUCUUGAGCACGUAUGGUGCACCCAGCUCCCUGGUGGACUCACCUGUGACAGUGUGAAAAGGGAACCGCUCACCGAAACACAAUACCAGAACACAGGGACAUUAGCAUACUUAUUUACAUAAAUUUACAUAUAACCAUUCCUGUCACCCCAGCUCCCAAACCUGCACACUGGAUAAAUUUUUUAAAAAGGUAGUGUGACCUACUGCAGUUAUACUC